AUUGAACGCUGGCGGCAGGCUUAACACAUGCAAGUCGAGCGGGGUGAUGGUGCUUGCACUAUCACUUAGCGGCGGACGGGUGAGUAAUGCUUAGGAAUCUGCCCAUUAGUGGGGGACAACAACUCGAAAGGGAUGCUAAUACCGCAUACGUCCUACGGGAGAAAGCAGGGGAUCACUUGUGACCUUGCGCUAAUAGAUGAGCCUAAGUCGGAUUAGCUAGUUGGUGGGGUAAAGGCCUACCAAGGCGACGAUCUGUAGCGGGUCUGAGAGGAUGAUCCGCCACACUGGGACUGAGACACGGCCCAGACUCCUACGGGAGGCAGCAGUGGGGAAUAUUGGACAAUGGGGGGAACCCUGAUCCAGCCAUGCCGCGUGUGUGAAGAAGGCCUUAUGGUUGUAAAGCACUUUAAGCGAGGAGGAGGCUCUUUUGGUUAAUACCCAAGAUGAGUGGACGUUACUCGCAGAAUAAGCACCGGCUAACUCUGUGCCAGCAGCCGCCGUAA
Molecule: ribosomal RNA, 503 nt
Filed under: uncultured bacterium
Lineage: Bacteria
Description: partial 16S ribosomal RNA
Rfam family: Bacterial small subunit ribosomal RNA
Source: RNAcentral